GCCCGUUGCGGAACUGGCCGACGCGCUCGACUUGAGUUCAAGGAGUGCUGGUUUGAUUGCGGCCAGGGGCGCCA
This 74-nucleotide transfer RNA is filed under the name Bradyrhizobium sp. 6(2017). Its description in RNAcentral is "tRNA-Ser". The record is from RNAcentral. Lineage: Bacteria; Pseudomonadati; Pseudomonadota; Alphaproteobacteria; Hyphomicrobiales; Nitrobacteraceae.